AUUUGAUCUUCAAUGUGUUAAUGUGAUUGUGAGUUUGCUUUUAUUAUACCGAACGAGAUUCUGAAGUUUCUUUGGAGAUUGAAAUGAAUCUACAGACAAAGGAUUUGCUUUCUGUAAGCUUAGAAGAUUAUUUCAAAAUGACCAAAUGGACCAAAUGGACCCAUUCAGGGCGGUUUUCAUCCAUUUAUUUCACCAAACAUAGAAGUUGAUUAUGUGAUGCUCACGUAAGAUUUCUUCGAUGGAUCAAUUCUGGGCCAUUCAUCGAGUUCUCCAACUUCUCGAUGCUGGUAACCUUGACUCGUAGGCGUCGCGACGCUAAGAGGUUUACCUUGGUAAACCCUGGUAUCUCGGGAUACCAGUCGGGGUCUCGGUCGAGGGAUUAGGACAGGGUUGUUGAGCGAGACGGCAGAGGGCUGCUGGUAUCAGCGGAAGAGGGACAGAGUAACGAAGAAGAAAAAGAAAAAGAGACCACUGUAACCGUACGCUCGUAUAAUUGAUUGAGUCUAAUGAGUUAAAGGGGAUACCACGGUAGUACGGGACGGUGAAAUUAAAGAGUUCUGGGUCAUGAAGGCGACCACCCCUGCGGGACAGAGAAAGUGCGGAAACUUAGGUGCGCGCUCCUCUUCGGCUUCCUCUGUUCUCCUUCGACCCUUGCGAGUCGGCCACGAGGGCGCUGAUUGUAAAUUAGUUAAAGGAGAUGCCUCAUUAGGAUCAGCUGAUUCUUUGGAUAUUAACUGGGAUUGAAUGAGACGGUUUGAGAAAAAGAUUCCUUAAAGGGGGCUCUUUUAUAGAGGGUUGAAAUGAAUUCUUCUUGAAAGGAAUUAUAACAAGCUGUCAUUUUUUCGAGAGCAGGUAUAAAAAGAAAUAUUUUCAUUUUAAUAUUUUUAUUGUUAAUGUGCUAAUAAUAUAUUGGAAUAACAAUA
Osmia lignaria (orchard mason bee) is the source of this 923-nucleotide non-coding RNA. The record is from RefSeq and is a predicted model, not a curated record. Lineage: Eukaryota; Metazoa; Arthropoda; Insecta; Hymenoptera; Megachilidae.